GCUGUGUCCUCCAGAUAAGCAGAGGCAGGAAGAUGCCACCUUGGUCAUGUGCUUGCCCAAGUGCUUGCUUUGUGAGGAAUUCAAACCGAUACACGCUUCUCCUGGAAUCAUGCUAUACUUCUUUGGAUACUUCUACAGUGUUCAUGAAAAAGGAGAGGAAGUGGAGAGAUAGAAGGAAA
Molecule: long non-coding RNA, 179 nt
Organism: Condylura cristata (star-nosed mole)
Lineage: Eukaryota; Metazoa; Chordata; Mammalia; Eulipotyphla; Talpidae
Exons: 3
Source: RefSeq, a predicted model, not a curated record